AGGUACCCUGAGGAAGAAAGAAGAGGCAUCUAUUGCUAAGCAAGUCAAAUCACAAUAAUCAUUUGAACACUUUCUCUCCACAGAAUCUGAUGGAGACAACCUAGGACCCUGACCCCAAAAGCCUUAGAGCAGUGACUCCCAAUCAACCAGAUCUGCUUCCAGCCCAGAACCCACAGCCAUAAUUAAGGGGAGAAAUCACUUACGUUCUUCACCACUAGCAACAGCUAGUGACUAACUACAGAGCGGCAGAAAUGCACAAGAUCUCUGAGAGUGGUAGUAAAGAUACUACCCAGAUCAGCAAUCCUGCUGCCAGCCUAGCCAUGAUCCAUUCAAACACUCCUGUGGAGGAGGGGACAGCUAUCCCCACCUACUGUCAGUCAACUGCCAGCCAUGCUAAAGCAGCAAGGCACCCCAAAGGAGAGGCAAACAUGUUUCAGAAAAGUCAAACCUUCAUCACCAAAAACAAAUCACCUUGAAAACUAUUUCUUCUCAAACCUUAAUGGAGACAGUGUGGAACCCUGAACUUAAAAGUUUCCGUCCCCCUCCUCUGCCCUUAGGAAAACCACCAAACCCACUUCCAGAAUAGGCUCUGAUCAAAUGUCAACAGGCCCUGGAGUAACAUCACCCUCCAGCCCCUACCAUAGCCAGCAUCAGAGGAAUCAACUGCUGUGGAGCAGGGGCAAGCCAUCUCCAACAAUGGCCACACACAAUAGAAGAAACCGAUGGAGACAGCUCCAGACCCCUGAAACCAAGAGGCUUGAGAAGAGCAGUGGUUCCAGAAUGGUGCCUUAAGCCAACAUCCUGGGAGGCAAUUCCUGUGAAGAUGCAGCCUAGCAACUGCUUCUGCAGAUGCUGUGACCACAGCUACUGAAGACCCAGAGAGGAAAGUUCUGGCCACCAAAGUUCUAGGCACUCUCAUAUGAGUCAACAUAAGAAACUCAUAUGAUUUUAUCAGUGGAAAUGAUUUUCAAAAGGCAUCAUUUAAAUAACAUACACAGUCAAUUGGAUCCAAUGCAAAAUCAGAUGCCGAAGAGUCAAAGUUGGCAAGUUAACACUAAUUACUCAUCAGUCUCACAACUGAACGUCGUUCCUUGCAAGAAGCUUGAAGUUUCUGUCAACCUCACCAAUCCUGAUAUUAGAUGAAGAAACUGAGACCUGGGGGAGAAAAGUUAUUUGCCUAAUAUCAUACAGGUAGUAGAUGCUAUUUGAAUCUACCUACAUUCUCUGACUCUGAAAUAAACCAUCUUUCCUACUGUACCUAUGGAUAGAUAUGUGGUUCCCCUUCUUCAUUGGGCCCUAUGACUACAUAUCCAUCUUUUGAUUUUGUGAAAAUUUGAUUCUAUUUACACUUAUCAUAUAGGCAAAAAUGACUGCAAAAGGAAAAUGGCAAUUGUGAGA
Phascolarctos cinereus (koala) is the source of this 1398-nucleotide non-coding RNA. Lineage: Eukaryota; Metazoa; Chordata; Mammalia; Diprotodontia; Phascolarctidae. The record is from RefSeq and is a predicted model, not a curated record.